Long non-coding RNA from Symphalangus syndactylus (siamang), 3378 nucleotides. RefSeq lists it as uncharacterized. Lineage: Eukaryota; Metazoa; Chordata; Mammalia; Primates; Hylobatidae. The record is from RefSeq and is a predicted model, not a curated record.
CAGGGUAUAGAUGCUGGGGUAGGGGCAGGAGCCAGCGCCCCCACCGGAAUCGGAAGCUGUGGGUGCACACGAGAGAUGGCGUUGUGGCCGCUUCGCCUUCGUUUGCCUCCUGCCAUGCACUGCAGGCCCGGAGAAUGUGGCCCCAGACUAAAAUGAGGAGAAGAUGGCCCUGCCGAGGGUUGUCUCAACUGUUGGGGUGAUCAGACCCAACACCAGGCCACGGGGGCUACUAAGUCUGGCGGAGUCAAAGGAAUGAGAAAAGACAAGUUAAGAGAGAAAGUGGGACCAUGAGGCCAAUGUCAGUGUGGAGGCUGCGAAGACCCUAAGCUCUGGGAGCCCACGCUAUUUAUUGAUGAUCAAACAAAGAAACAGCUGGUUGCAGUGUUUGAUGAGCAAGAUCUACAUCAUGGAGGUGAUGACACCAGUGCCAGCUCCAUGCAUACCCAGAGCCCAGAGAGAUUUACUAGUGCUAGUGAGCUUGGCACCAACAAUGUCUCAGCCUUUCAGUCUGAUCAAGCAGCAAGUGAAAUUGAGGUUACAUCUUCAGUACAUGCAAAUAAGUGAAAGCUCUUUCUUCUCUGCAUACUUCAUCUUUUUUUUUUUUUUUUUUUGAGACUGAGUCUUGCUCUAUUGCCCAGACUGGAGUGUAGUGGCGCGACCUCGGCUCACUGCCACCUCUGCCUCCUAGGUUCAAGCAAUUCUCCCUGCUACAGCCUCCUGAGUUGCUGGGCAGCUGCCGCCAUGCCCAGCUAUUUUUUGGGUAUUUUUAGUAGAGACAGGGUUUCGCCGUGUUGGGCAGGCUGGUCUCAAACUCCUGACCUCAGAUGAUCUGCCCGCCUCGGCCUCCCAAGGUGUUGAGAUUACAGGUGUGAGCCACCACACCUGGCCACUUCAUCUUCAUUUGAAGGAUACUAAGUUUUGUCAUCCAUUCUUGCUUCUGUAAAUGCAAGGAAUUCAUUUCUUGAACAGAUAAUAGAAUUCAUUAUCUGUUUAUAUCCAGAAUUCAGUUUAGAACCUUGGCAAAUGUCUUGCAAGAGAAGUAGGCACAUUAAAAUCACAUUUUAAUGAAUUAAACUUACUUUAGUCAACUUUUCAUGGCAGGGCAGGGUCCAUCAAGGCAGGCGGAUAGAGAAAUAUUUAAACAAUGGUAUGGCCCAAGUCCCAACCAGUUUUAGUAUAUGUGCUGCUGAAGUGGGCACCCAAGUCCCAACCAAUCUGAAUGAACCGUUCUACCAUACCUAGCCAAUAUUAAUAUUAUUCAUAAUAAAAUCUUAAUAAAUGAAAGUUCAGUAAAUAAAAAAUGAAUAUAAAAUACCUAAACAUAAAUGUGUCUUAAAACACUAGUUGAGGGUUCUAAACAUACCAAGAGUAACUGUUUCAAGUUGCUUUAAAGCAUUGCAAUUUGUACAACCAAAAGGAAAUACAUCCUAAGGGAAAAAAUGAAUUGCCAAACAAGGACCCUAAAACUGUUUGUUGUUGGCAUUGUUCAUCUUCAAUUUGUAGAUCAGUAUUAUAGGAUGAAGGAGAUGAAGAGGAAUAAUACUUUAAUUCUUCCAUUCCUGGUGUCAUUGAGGACCUAGGAUUCUUAGUAUAGGAGAAAGGGGAUACAGAUACAAGUUACAAAGUAAUAAACAACUACUUUAUAGUCUUUAAUUUGGAUAGGACAAGUCAUUUUUUUUCUUUACAACCUACACUUUAUUGAUUUUAUAGCAGGAAAUUAGAAUGGAGAAGAUUAAAAACUUAAAGACAUUGAACUGUCCCAGAAUGAUAACUUUAGAACUUGAAUGAAUUCUGAAAUCUGAAAAUUUAAUGAAUUUAAGUUAUAUUGUGGAAAUUUCAAAUUGCUUUAGAACCGGAUUUAGUCCAUGUCUUUCAAUAUAUCAGUGUGUUGUGGUUUCACAGACCUACAACAAUACACAGAAAUAUUUGAUACUUACAGGUUGCUAUUUAUAGAUUUUCUUCUUGUUAUUUGGUUUGAAAGUACAUAUGUUAUUGCACUUUCAUGCAACUAAUAUGAUGGUUAUUGGUCAUGAGUAAUAAUUUCUUGAGCUCAUGAUUGAUGCAAAGCAUUGUGCUAGGAGUUAUGGUGGAUACACAGAGGUUUAGAACUAUGAUCCUGGCUUUAAGGAGCUUGCUAUCCAGUUAGGUAGGACUGAUGGGAGUUCCCCCCUUCACCCUUUGCACAUUUUGCACUGAGAAUUAACUGAUCACCUAAAGUAUAUUGCAAAAACCUCUAUACAUUUUCUGUGUACUAACUCAUGUAAUCAUCAAAAUAAAUAGUCUGAAAAGGAAACUGAAACUCAGAGGCAUAAUUUAACUUGAUUCGUGUCAUGAUAUGUUUUAACUCUCAAAAAAAAGAGAACCCAGAAGGAAGGAGAACUCCUGUAUGUAUUCACAGAAAAAGGCACGAAUCAAGGACCAACUUAGUAAGGCAGCAUUUCUCAUAUCCAGGCUAUAUUCUGGAAAUAACAAUUUUUUAUAAAAAGAGAUCAGAGUUCCUUGGAGAAAUGCCUGAAUUUAGAUCUGGACAGAAGAUGUAUGAGAUGAUUCUGGAUCACCCUGACAUAUCAUAAAAUAAGGAUGCUAUGAAACAUAACUAGGGUAUAUCAGAGGGCCUAGGAGAUGACACGAUGCUCCUACUGUCCAAAAACAGGACAAUUGGAGCUUCAAUUAGUAUAGUAACAGCAAUAAAUGCAUGGAUUUGUAAUUAUAAUAAAUAAGUUUACGAGCAAGAAAAAGGCUGCCAGUGAUCCAAUUUAUUAUUUGGAAAGCUGAUAAGGGAAUAAUUCAUCUACUCUGCAUUUCCUAUGUGGGUGGUGUCACUGGAUAACUAACAGAUCAAGGGGAAGUUACUUUUUAUGUAAGUAUUUCAGCUAAUAAAUGAAGGUGUAAUGAUAGCAUUAGAAUAUUACUAUUUUGCAACUCCUGGUGAAAUAAUAGAUCUAGGGAUUGAUCAUUGUAUGAAAGGACAAUAAAAAUUGGGGACCCAAUUUACUAUGCCAAAAGAAAAAAAGUUAACCUGAAAGCUGAGUCAUGCAAGAAGCCGCCUUUCCUUGGCUUUGUAAGCAGUUACAGAUAAAAGUCUAAACAUUUCCACAGGUAGCUACCCUGUUCAUCUUAUCUAAUCAAGCGCUGAUUUAUUGAGCAUAAGAUCAGUACAUAAUUGACUAUUUCCCUACCUGCUCCUUUUCUCUUGCAACAUGAGGAUCACCACACACUUCGUGUUUCCUCUCUAGGUCACUUUUCCUUUUUAAAUAUUGAAGCCCUCAAAAUCAUCUUUGGAGAAAAUCACAGACCACAGACUGUGUCUGUGAUUCUGUGUUUAUUUCUUCUGGGCAUGUUCUUAACCUUGGCAAAAUAAACUCCUACAUUGAUUGA